Molecule: non-coding RNA, 1181 nt
Organism: Triticum urartu
Lineage: Eukaryota; Viridiplantae; Streptophyta; Magnoliopsida; Poales; Poaceae
Source: RefSeq, a predicted model, not a curated record
GAGUGAGAGUAUUCCCAACUGAAUACAAUGGUCAAAAGUGUAAUAAGACAAGCAUCAUAACCUCCUUUUCUCAAGAUCAUUCAUCAUGAUACAAAAGUUGUGGCCUUACCGUGUAAACACCGAGAGGGUACAAGAAAAGGAAACUUUUUUAGAAACAAUGGUCCCAUGCGACGCCGUCAUGAGGGAAACUACCAUCUGCCAAAGUCAUCGCACGGCCACCAAUGUGUGGCACCGAUGCACCCUAUGUAGGCCAAUCCUCCACUGGGUAGUGACGCAGGUCACAAGCAAAAAUCGCCCGGGAGCUGAACCUUGAAUGAACAUGAGAAGAGAGGGGAAGGGAAAAGCAUAGAGUUCCCCACGCGGCAAUGGUGGCGGUGGCGAUGGAACCAAAUGUUGUCCUUUUAGAAGUACCAACUCUUACAGCUACAGUGUUGGGAGCGAGAGUCUCAGCAAAAGACCAUGUGGCUAAGUCAUCCAUAGAAGUUUCUUUUGCAGAAAAAGUCAUGCAUAGAAGUUGGACUAUUGUGAUGAAAGUAGACCGAAGCUACUAUAUAAGCCAAGUACGAUACCCGAAUCCUCAGCUGAGUUUCUCAGUAUAUGGUCUAUGUGAGCUUUGUUUGAGAAGGUGUCAACAAGUAGGAGGCCUUGGUUUAUCGUUGUGUUGCUGCUUCUAGGGCCAGUUCUUUUCGGCGAUUCUCUCAGAAUCGCCCCCCUCUCCAGCUUCUCCCAGAAUCGUCACUCCAUAUUUUUUUUACAAUCCUAUCUAGGUAAGGUCUAAUUAGCUAGGAUUGUAAAAAACAUAUGGAGUGGUGAUUCUGGGAGAAGCUGGGGAGGGGGGGCGAUUCUGGUAGAAUCGCCCAAAAGAACUGGCCCCUAGUGUUCCUACAUCUCAUCACUGUGCACACCGGCCCCACAGUCUGCAACUAUCUUCGUCGAGAAAACUGUCGCCAUAAAUAAACCAUGAACUGUAGAAAGGAUAAUGUGUGCAUGCUUGCUUUAUUGGGUUAGGUACAUAAUCGUCAUAUAGGUUGUUCAAUUUCCCAAGAAAUGAAAUGAAGUUGGAAAAGGAGUACCACUGGAGAAUCAAGGUUCGGCCGGUUCUCUCGGAAUAACUUCAAGACAAGGAUCUAGAAUUUGUAAUCAUAUUGUUGGCUCAUUGAAAAGUUUAAUUGCCCCUUCUA